AGAGUUUGAUCAUGGCUCAGAACGAACGCNNGGCGGCAGGCUAACACAUGCAAGUCGAGCGGGCCCUUCGGGGUCAGCGGCGGACGGGUUAGUAACGCGUGGGAACGUCCCUUUGCUCCGGAAUAGCCCUGGGAAACCGGGGGUAAUACCGGAUGUGCCCUGAGGGGGAAAGGUUUACCGGCAAGGGAUCGGCCCGCGUCUGAUUAGGUAGUUGGUGGGGUAAUGGCCCACCAAGCCUACGAUCGGUAGCUGGUUUGAGAGGAUGAUCAGCAACACUGGGACUGAGACACGGCCCAGACUCCUACGGGAGGCAGCAGUGGGGAAUCUUAGACAAUGGGCGAAAGCCUGAUCUAGCCAUGCCGCGUGGGUGAUGAAGGCCUUAGGGUCGUAAAGCCCUUUCGCCGGGGAAGAUAAUGACGGUACCCGGUAAAGAAACCCCGGCUAACUCCGUGCCAGCAGCCGCGGUAAUACGGAGGGGGUUAGCGUUGUUCGGAAUGACUGGGCGUAAAGCGCGCGUAGGCGGAUCGCAAAGUCGGGGGUGAAAUCCCGGGGCUCAACCCCGGAAUGGCCUUCGAGACUCGCGGUCUGGAGUUCGAGAGAGGUGGGUGGAAUUCCGAGUGUAGAGGUGAAAUUCGUAGAUAUUCGGAGGAACACCAGUGGCGAAGGCGGCCCACUGGCUCGACACUGACGCUGAGGCGCGAAAGCGCGGGGAGCAAACAGGAUUAGAUACCCUAGUAGUCC
This 741-nucleotide ribosomal RNA is filed under the name uncultured bacterium. RNAcentral's name for it is "bacterial SSU rRNA". It matches the Rfam family "Bacterial small subunit ribosomal RNA", at positions 8 to 796 of the family's 1533-position model. The record is from RNAcentral.